Molecule: ribosomal RNA, 406 nt
Filed under: uncultured bacterium
Lineage: Bacteria
Description: partial 16S ribosomal RNA
Rfam family: Bacterial small subunit ribosomal RNA
Source: RNAcentral
AUUGAACGCUGGCGGCAGGCCUAACACAUGCAAGUCGAACGAGUGGCGGACGGGUGUGUAACGUCUGGGAAACUGCCCGAUGGAGGGGGAUAACUAUUGGAAACGGUAGUUAAUACCGCAUUCCAUCGGAUGUGCCCAGGUGGGAUUAGCCAGUUGGUGGGGUAACGGCUCACCUAGGCCACGAUCGCUACCUGGUCUGAGAGGGUGACCAGCCACACUGGAGCUGAGACACGGUCCAGACUCCUACGGGAGGCAGCAGUGGGGAAUAUUGCACAAUGGGCGCAAGCCUAAUGCAGCCAUGCCGCGUGUAUGAAGAAGGCCUUCGGGUUGUAAAGUACUUUCAGCGAGGAGGGGUUACUCGCAGAAGAAGCACCGGCUAACUCCGUGCCAGCAGCCGCGGUAAUUC